RNAcentral lists this transfer RNA (63 nucleotides) under Astacus astacus (noble crayfish). RNAcentral's name for it is "tRNA-Pro". Lineage: Eukaryota; Metazoa; Arthropoda; Malacostraca; Decapoda; Astacidae. The record is from RNAcentral.
CGGAGAGUAGUUUAAGUGAUAAAAUAUUAAUUUUGGAUAUUAAAGAUAUUUAUUUCUCUCUGA